ACCGGCAGCUCAAGUGGUGGCCAUUUUUAUUGGGCCUAAAGCGUUCGUAGCCGGUUUGAUAAGUCUCUGGUGAAAUCCCGCAGCUUAACUGUGGGACUUGCUGGAGAUACUAUUAGACUUGAGGUCGGGAGAGGUUAGGGGUACUCCCAGGGUAGGGGUGAAAUCGAAUAAUCCUGGGAGGGCCAAACGAGGAGAGGGCGCCUCACCGGAACGAGCCUGACCGGUAGUAACGUAAUCCAUUGGUGCGCGCUA
Molecule: ribosomal RNA, 252 nt
Filed under: uncultured prokaryote
Description: partial 16S rRNA
Rfam family: Archaeal small subunit ribosomal RNA
Source: RNAcentral